This is a non-coding RNA of Echinostoma caproni, 45 nucleotides long. The record is from Rfam. NCBI's taxonomy places the organism in Eukaryota, Metazoa, Platyhelminthes, Trematoda, Plagiorchiida, Echinostomatidae.
GCGCUGCUGACGAGUCCCACGCAGGACGAAACAGCUGUCCAGCAC